ACGGAAGGCAGCAGUGGGGAAUAUUGCACAAUGGGGGAAACCCUGAUGCAGCGACGCCGCGUGAGUGAAGAAGUAUUUCGGUAUGUAAAGCUCUAUCAGCAGGGAAGAAAAUGACGGUACCUGACUAAGAAGCCCCGGCUAACUACGUGCCAGCAGCCGCGGUAAUACGUAGGGGGCAAGCGUUAUCCGGAUUUACUGGGUGUAAAGGGGGCGUAGACGGUUCUGCAAGUCUGAUGUGAAAGGCAGGGGCUCAACUCCUGGACUGCAUUGGAAACUGUAGAACUAGAGUGCCGGAGAGGUAAGCGGAAUUCCUAGUGUAGCGGUGAAAUGCGUAGAUAUUAGGAGGAACACCAGUGGCGAAGGCGGCUUACUGGACGGUAACUGACGUUGAGGCUCGAAAGCGUGGGGAGCAAACAGGAUUAGAUACCCUGGUA
Molecule: ribosomal RNA, 434 nt
Filed under: uncultured Lachnospiraceae bacterium
Lineage: Bacteria; Bacillati; Bacillota; Clostridia; Lachnospirales; Lachnospiraceae
Description: bacterial SSU rRNA
Rfam family: Bacterial small subunit ribosomal RNA
Source: RNAcentral